UUUAAUUGCUUCCAUUCUGUUUUUCAG
RNAcentral lists this non-coding RNA (27 nucleotides) under Cricetulus griseus (Chinese hamster). The record is from RNAcentral. Lineage: Eukaryota; Metazoa; Chordata; Mammalia; Rodentia; Cricetidae.